ACACGCAUGACACACUGCAUAUCAAUAAGCGGAGGAAAAGAAACUAACAAGGAUUCCCUUAGUAACGGCGAGUGAAGCGGGAAGAGCUCAAAUUCGAAAUCUUCAAGGUUCUACCUUGACGAAUUGUAGUUUAUAGAAGUGUUUUCUGUUAGUAGGAGUGGCAAAAGUUCUUUGGAAUAGGACAUCAUAGAGGGUGAGAAUCCCGUAUUUGGUCAUUCCUUCCUAGCGUUGUGAUACACUUUCAACGAGUCGGAUUGUUUGGGAAUGCAGUCCAAAAUGGGUGGUAAAUUUCAUCUAAAGCUAAAUAUUGGCGAGAGACCGAUAGCGAACAAGUACCGUGAGGGAAAGAUGAAAAGAACUUUGAAAAGAGAGUUAAACAGUACGUGAAAUUGUCAAAAGGGAAGCGUUUGACACCAGUGUUGUUUUUCCGAAAAUCAAUUACGAAUGUUUUGUUUUUGAGGAGUUAUGACUUCAUCGGCCUGCUUCUCUCUUUACGAAACUUUCUUAAUGCACUUUUCGGUUAACAAGUCAACAUCAAUUUCUUUUGUUGUAAAAGGGUAUGAGGAAGGUGGCUUUACUUUUCGGAGUAAAGUGUUUAUAGCCUUGUAGCCUCUGCAAUCGGAGAGAUUGAGGUCUGCAGCGUAGAUCCUUCGGGGUUAGAUACAGUUUGUGCUAAGUUAUAGCCUUUCAUAGACAACUUGUUGAUUAUGAUUAGUCAUUGUAGCUUACUCGCUUAUGUCUAUUUUACCUACGCUUAGGAUGUUGAGUAGCGACAUACGCAC
RNAcentral lists this ribosomal RNA (782 nucleotides) under uncultured Neocallimastigales. Its description in RNAcentral is "partial large subunit ribosomal RNA". It matches the Rfam family "Eukaryotic large subunit ribosomal RNA", at positions 23 to 649 of the family's 3401-position model. Lineage: Eukaryota; Fungi; Neocallimastigomycota; Neocallimastigomycetes; Neocallimastigales. The record is from RNAcentral.